UUGUAGUUGCGUGGUGGUACCUGGUGGAGUCCAAGAGACAUGCUAUAUGAAGCAUGGCACUGAGAUUGCUUUCCUUAAAACAAGGAGAGGAUUUAUUCGAAUAGCUAUGGACAUGGGCAAACCCUUGGUUCCGAUUUUCUGCUUUGGUCAAUCAGAUGCAUACAAGUGGUGGAAACCUGGUGGAAAGUUAUUCAUGAAACUUGCAAGAGCUAUUAAGUUCACCCCUAUUGUCUUUUGGGGAAUUUUUGGAUCUCCAUUUCCUUAUAAACAUCCAAUUCAUGUUGUGGUGGGUAAACCAAUUGAGCUGAAGAAAAAUCCACAGC
RNAcentral lists this unclassified non-coding RNA (323 nucleotides) under Hevea brasiliensis (rubber tree). Lineage: Eukaryota; Viridiplantae; Streptophyta; Magnoliopsida; Malpighiales; Euphorbiaceae. The record is from RNAcentral.